Molecule: ribosomal RNA, 486 nt
Filed under: uncultured bacterium
Lineage: Bacteria
Description: partial 16S ribosomal RNA
Rfam family: Bacterial small subunit ribosomal RNA
Source: RNAcentral
AUUGAACGCUGGCGGCAUGCCUUACACAUGCAAGUCGAACGGCAGCACGGGUGCUUGCACCUGGUGGCGAGUGGAGAACGGGUGAGUAAUACAUCGGAACAUGUCCUGUAGUGGGGGAUAGCCCGGCGAAAGCCGGAUUAAUACCGCAUACGAUCUACGGAUGAAAGCGGGGGACCUUCGGGCCUCGCGCUAUAGGGUUGGCCGAUGGCUGAUUAGCUAGUUGGUGGGGUAAAGGCCUACCAAGGCGACGAUCAGUAGCUGGUCUGAGAGGACGACCAGCCACACUGGGACUGAGACACGGCCCAGACUCCUACGGGAGGCAGCAGUGGGGAAUUUUGGACAAUGGGCGAAAGCCUGAUCCAGCAAUGCCGCGUGUGUGAAGAAGGCCUUCGGGUUGUAAAGCACUUUUGUCCGGAAAGAAAUACUUGGCCCUAAUACGGUCGGGGGAUGACGGUACCGGAAGAAUAAGCACCGGCUAACUACGUG